Molecule: ribosomal RNA, 492 nt
Filed under: uncultured bacterium
Lineage: Bacteria
Description: partial 16S ribosomal RNA
Rfam family: Bacterial small subunit ribosomal RNA
Source: RNAcentral
AGUGAACGCUGGCGGUAGGCCUAACACAUGCAAGUCGAACGGCAGCACAGUAAGAGCUUGCUCUUACGGGUGGCGAGUGGCGGACGGGUGAGGAAUACAUCGGAAUCUACUUUUUCGUGGGGGAUAACGUAGGGAAACUUACGCUAAUACCGCAUACGACCUACGGGUGAAAGCAGGGGAUCUUCGGACCUUGCGCGAUUGAAUGAGCCGAUGCCGGAUUAGCUAGUUGGCGGGGUAAAGGCCCACCAAGGCGACGAUCCGUAGCUGGUCUGAGAGGAUGAUCAGCCACACUGGAACUUAGACACGGUCCAGACUCCUACGGGAGGCAGCAGUGGGGAAUAUUGGACAAUGGGCGCAAGCCUGAUCCAGCCAUACCGCGUGGGUGAAGAAGGCCUUCGGGUUGUAAAGCCCUUUUGUUGGGAAAGAAAAGCAGCAGGUUAAUACCCCGCUGUUCUGACGGUACCCAAAGAAUAAGCACCGGCUAACUUCGUG